Acanthosepion pharaonis is the source of this 110-nucleotide non-coding RNA. The record is from the annotation of a GenBank genome assembly. Lineage: Eukaryota; Metazoa; Mollusca; Cephalopoda; Sepiida; Sepiidae.
UGGCCACAUUAUGUUGAAACACUAGUUUUCAUACAAUCACCAAAGUUAAGCUACAUCAAGCCUGGUCAGUACCUAGAUGAGUGACCACUUUGGAAUACUAGGUACUGUAA